GUGUCAGCAGCCGCGGUAACACCAGCCCCUCGAGUGGUGGGGACUAUUAUUUGGCCUAAAGCGUCCGUAGCUGGCUGUAUCCGUCCCCCGUUAAAUCCAGCGUCCUAAGCGUUGGACCGCGGGUGAUACCAUACAGCUAGAGGGUGGGACAGGUGGGCGGUAUUUCUGGGGUAGGGGCGAAAUCCUUUGAUCCCAGGAGGACCACCAGUGGCGAAGGCUGCUCACUAGAACACGCCUGACGGGCAGGGACGAAAGCUGGGGCAGCGAACCGGAUUAGAUACCCGGGUAGUCCCAGCUGUAAACGAUGCUAGCUAGGUGUUGGGUCGGCCACGUGCCGCCCCAGUGCCGCAGGGAAGCCGUUAAGCUAGCCGCCUGGGGAGUACGGCCGCAAGGCUGAAACUCAAAUGAAUUGGCGGGG
RNAcentral lists this ribosomal RNA (418 nucleotides) under uncultured prokaryote. RNAcentral's name for it is "bacterial SSU rRNA". It matches the Rfam family "Archaeal small subunit ribosomal RNA", at positions 455 to 873 of the family's 1478-position model. The record is from RNAcentral.